Molecule: non-coding RNA, 814 nt
Filed under: Patania chlorophanta
Lineage: Eukaryota; Metazoa; Arthropoda; Insecta; Lepidoptera; Crambidae
Source: RNAcentral
AAAAAACUAUGUUAAAAUAUUGAUUAAUAAAUAAAUUUUUAUAGUUUAUAAAUUUUAUUAUAAAUUUAUUUUGCAUAUAAAUUUUAGUGUUAAUUUUUAAUUAUUUUAAUAAUAAUUAAUUAAUUAUGUAGUAAUUAAUAUUAAAAAUUUAAGAAAUUAAGAUUUAGUAAUAUUUAAAUUAAUAACAAAUUUUGUGCCAGCAGUUGCGGUUAAACAAAAGUUAAAUUAAAUUUUAUUAGUAAUUAAUUAAAUAAAUUUAUUUAUAUUUACGAAAAUAUUAAAUUAUUAAGUGAAAUUUUAAUUUAAUUAAAUUUAAAUUAAAAAUUUAUUAAUUUAAUAAAUUUUAUAUAUAAACUAGGAUUAGAUACCCUAUUAUUGAAAAUUUAAAUUAAAAAUACUAAAAUAGUAUUUAAUUAUUUAUUGAAACUUAAAUAAUUUGGCGGUAUUUUAGUUUAUUUAGAGGAAUCUGUUUAAUAAUUGAUAAUUCACGAAUAAAUUUACUUAAUUUUAUUAUUUUGUAUAUCGUUGUUAUAAAAAUAUUUUUAUAUAAAAAUAAUAUUUUAAAUUUAUUAAAAAAAAAUUAAAUCAGAUCAAGAUGCAGAUUAUAAUUAAGAAUAUAAUGGAUUACAAUAAAUUUAUUUUAUAAUGAAUAUUAAUUUGUAAUAAUUAAUUAAAGGUGGAUUUAAAUGUAAUUUUAUUUAAUUUAUUAAAAUGAUUUAAAAUUAAAAUAUGUACAUAUUGCCCGUCGCUUUCAUUAAUAAAUUGGAAUAAGUCGUAACAAAGUAGGGGUACUGGAAAGUGUUUCUAGAAAUAC